RNAcentral lists this ribosomal RNA (497 nucleotides) under uncultured bacterium. RNAcentral describes it as "partial 16S ribosomal RNA". It matches the Rfam family "Bacterial small subunit ribosomal RNA", at positions 28 to 507 of the family's 1533-position model. The record is from RNAcentral.
GAUGAACGCUGGCGGCGUGCCUAAUACAUGCAAGUCGAGCGAACAGACGAGGAGCUUGCUCCUUUGACGUUAGCGGCGGACGGGUGAGUAACACGUAGGUAACCUACCUAUAAGACUGGGAUAACUUCGGGAAACCGGAGCUAAUACCGGAUAAUAUUUCGAACCGCAUGGUUCGAUAGUGAAAGAUGGCUUUGCUAUCACUUAUAGAUGGACCUGCGCCGCAUUAGCUAGUUGGUAAGGUAACGGCUUACCAAGGCAACGAUACGUAGCCGACCUGAGAGGGUGAUCGGCCACACUGGAACUGAGACACGGUCCAGACUCCUACGGGAGGCAGCAGUAGGGAAUCUUCCGCAAUGGGCGAAAGCCUGACGGAGCAACGCCGCGUGAGUGAUGAAGGUCUUCGGAUCGUAAAACUCUGUUAUUAGGGAAGAACAAACGUGUAAGUAACUGUGCACGUCUUGACGGUACCUAAUCAGAAAGCCGCGGCUAACUACGUG